UACGGGGGGGGCAAGCGUUGUUCGGAAUUACUGGGCGUAAAGGGGUUGUAGGCGGCCAACUAAGUCCGACGUGAAAUCCCAAGGCUUAACCUUGGAACUGCGUCGGAUACUGGAUGGCUUGAAUUCGGGAGAGGGAUGCAGAAUUCCAGGUGUAGCGGUGAAAUGCGUAGAUAUCAGAAGGAACAUCAGUGGCGAAAGCGACUUCCUGGACCAGAACAUGACGAGUCAGGCACGGAAAGCGUGGGGAGCAAACAGGA
RNAcentral lists this ribosomal RNA (257 nucleotides) under uncultured bacterium. RNAcentral's name for it is "partial 16S ribosomal RNA". It matches the Rfam family "Bacterial small subunit ribosomal RNA", at positions 524 to 777 of the family's 1533-position model. The record is from RNAcentral.